Molecule: ribosomal RNA, 460 nt
Filed under: uncultured bacterium
Lineage: Bacteria
Description: partial 16S ribosomal RNA
Rfam family: Bacterial small subunit ribosomal RNA
Source: RNAcentral
CCUACGGGAGGCAGCAGUGAGGAAUAUUGGUCAAUGGGCGCAAGUCUGAACCAGCCAAGUCGCGUGAGGGAUGACGGCCCUAUGGGUUGUAAACUUCUUUUGUCGGGGAGUAAGGCUCGGCACGUGUGCCGGGUAGGAGGGUACCCGAAGAUAAAGCAUCGGCUAACUCGGUGCCAGCAGCGCGGGUAAAACGGGGAAUGCGAGGGUAAUCCGGAUUUAUUGGGUUUAAAGGGUGCGUGGGCGGGAGUUUAGGACGGCGGUAAAAUGUCGGGGCUCAACACCGGACUGCCGUUGAAACUGGUAGUCUUGAGUGAGCGAGAGGUAGGCGGAAUGCGUGGUGUAGCGGUGAAAUGCAUAGAUAUCACGCAGAACCCCGAUUGCGAAGGCAGCAUACCGGCGCGCUACUGACGCUGAGGCACGAAAGUGUGGGGAUCGAACAGGAUUAGAUACCCCUGUAGUC